Molecule: ribosomal RNA, 305 nt
Filed under: uncultured bacterium
Lineage: Bacteria
Description: bacterial SSU rRNA
Rfam family: Bacterial small subunit ribosomal RNA
Source: RNAcentral
ACCUACGGGGGGCAGCAGUGAGGAAUAUUGGUCAAUGGUCGGGAGACUGAACCAGCCAAGCCGCGUGAGGGAGGAAGGUACAGAGUAUCGUAAACCUCUUUUGUCAGGGAACAAAGGCGGGGACGUGUCCCCGGAUGAGUGUACCUGAAGAAAAAGCAUCGGCUAACUCCGUGCCAGCAGCCGCGGUAAUACGGAGGAUGCGAGCGUUAUCCGGAUUUAUUGGGUUUAAAGGGUGCGCAGGCGGUCUGUUAAGUCAGCGGUCAAAGCCCGGGGCGCAACACCGGCCCGCCGUUGAAACGGGCAGG